Molecule: long non-coding RNA, 1021 nt
Organism: Serinus canaria (Common canary)
Lineage: Eukaryota; Metazoa; Chordata; Aves; Passeriformes; Fringillidae
Exons: 2
Source: RefSeq, a predicted model, not a curated record
AAAUACACCAGCGGCUUGGAGCGUCUCCGAGCUCUAACCGCGCCAGGAAUGCUCACUGCCCAACACUUUCUUCCCCUCUACCCCCCGCGGUCACGCCUCGUGUAACUGCCCGCUUGCCCCGCGUGGUGCCCGCGGGACAGGGACCCGGAUGGGGCUGCUCAACGCCGUUCUUUGGGGGGGCGGGGGAACGACGACGGGCAGGGUGUGAGGCAAAGGGGAGGGAAGAGCCAUGCCCCGCCCGCCCGGGGUGGAGCCCCCUGGGGCAGCUCCCCGCCAUCCCACCCGACGAACGCCUGAUCCCCAAAUUCCGUCACCUUGCAGGAAUACUUAAACUUGUUCCAGCCUUUAGCAUGGUGAUGUUAUAGGUAAACAAGUCUCGUAGCGGCAUAUUUUGUGUAAUUUGGUCCGUAGCCGUUUGUAUUCAGCCUGUCCCACGUAUGCAAAGUAAAACUGUAAAUAAAACAACAGUUAAAGUCCAACAUGUGUUCAAAGCUGGCAUGGCGAAGGGUGUGUCUGCAGCGCUGAUCUCGCCACAGCAGCCAGUGACAGUCCGUGUUCCUCCUGGCGGCCGCAACAGUUCCCGAGGAGGCUGGCUAAGUUUGAUAAGACAGGCUAAUGCCCUCCUUCCCUUCCCGUUCUCUGGAAGGAAGGAGGAAUGCCAUGGAAGCAAUGGACACGACGCGAGGACAGCCUGCUAUGGAGCCUUCUCCCUGUGGGAAGGCCCAGGGCGAGUAGGAGGAAUCGCUAUCGCAGCACCGGGCCCGGUCGUUUGCUGGCCCAUCCCUGCGUGCCAGGGGAACCUCCCCGCUGUCCGACAUGCCCCGGCCCGGGGCUGCUCCCGAGGCGCCGGCAGCGCGGGUUCGUGCAGGGAGCCGAGGGGUGGUGAGCGGCUGGUUUGUGCCACAGCAGGGCCCGGGCUGCCGGGCUGCGUGAACGCCGCGCUCCCACCUUUCCCUGGAAGCUGGCGCCCGUGACUCCACGAACAGCGGCGUUAUUACAGAGAUUACAGGCAGAAUACAAG